AAGUAUUAAAGGUCCUGCCUGCCCAGUGAUUUUUUCAACGGCCGCGGUAUUCUAACCGUGCAAAGGUAGCGUAAUCACUUGUCUUUUAAAUAAAGACCUGUAUGAACGGCUAAAUGAGGAUAAACCUGUCUCUUAUAACUAAUCAGUGAAACUGAUCUUCCAGUACAAAAGCUGGGAUAAUUACAUAAGACGAGAAGACCCUGUGGAGCUUAAAACAAACCGCUAAACAAACGUCACCUUGCUUUAACGUACGUUUUCAGUUGGGGCGACUUCGGAAUAGAAAACAACUUCCGAGCACAGAGCCACAAUCUCUAGCCGAGGCCAACAAGCCAAAGCACAAAACCGACCCGGCCUUGCCGAUCAACGAACCAAGUUACCCCAGGGAUAACAGCGCAAUCUUCUUCGAGAGCCCCUAUCAACAAGAAGGUUUACGACCUCGAUGUUGGAUCAGGACACCCAAAUGGUGCAGCCGCUAUUAAAGGUUCGUUUGUUCAACGAUUAAUAGUCCUACGUGAUCUGAGUUCAGACCGGAG
Molecule: ribosomal RNA, 533 nt
Filed under: Varzea bistriata (two-striped Mabuya)
Lineage: Eukaryota; Metazoa; Chordata; Lepidosauria; Squamata; Scincidae
Description: partial 16S ribosomal RNA
Rfam family: Bacterial large subunit ribosomal RNA
Source: RNAcentral